UACGUAGGGUGCGAGCGUUGUCCGGAAUUACUGGGCGUAAAGAGCUCGUAGGUGGUUUGUCGCGUUGUCCGUGAAAACUCACAGCUUAACUGUGGGCGUGCGGGCGAUACGGGCAGACUGGAGUACUGCAGGGGAGACUGGAAUUCCUGGUGUAGCGGUGGAAUGCGCAGAUAUCAGGAGGAACACCGGUGGCGAAGGCGGAUUGCUGGGCUGACACUGACGCUGAGGCGCGAAAGCUAGGGUAGCAAACGGG
Molecule: ribosomal RNA, 253 nt
Filed under: uncultured bacterium
Lineage: Bacteria
Description: partial 16S ribosomal RNA
Rfam family: Bacterial small subunit ribosomal RNA
Source: RNAcentral